This 253-nucleotide ribosomal RNA is filed under the name uncultured bacterium. RNAcentral describes it as "partial 16S ribosomal RNA". It matches the Rfam family "Bacterial small subunit ribosomal RNA", at positions 524 to 776 of the family's 1533-position model. The record is from RNAcentral.
UACGAAGGGGGCUAGCGUUGCUCGGAAUCACUGGGCGUAAAGGGCGCGUAGGCGGCCAUUCAAGUCGGGGGUGAAAGCCUGUGGCUCAACCACAGAAUUGCCUUCGAUACUGUUUGGCUUGAGUUUGGUGGAGGUUGGUGGAACUGCGAGUGUAGAGGUGAAAUUCGUAGAUAUUCGCAAGAACACCAGUGGCGAAGGCGGCCAACUGGACCAACACUGACGCUGAGGCGCGAAAGCGUGGGGAGCAAACAGG